RNAcentral lists this transfer RNA (70 nucleotides) under Dipodomys ordii (Ord's kangaroo rat). It matches the Rfam family "tRNA". Rfam says of the family: Transfer RNA (tRNA) molecules are approximately 80 nucleotides in length. Lineage: Eukaryota; Metazoa; Chordata; Mammalia; Rodentia; Heteromyidae. The record is from Rfam by way of RNAcentral.
GGGAAUGUGGCUUAGUGGUAGUGUGCUUGCCUUGCAUGCAUGAAGCCCUGGGUUCGAUUCCUCAGUACCA